CCUACGGGAGGCAGCAGUGGGGAAUCUUCCGCAAUGGACGAAAGUCUGACGGAGCAACGCCGCGUGCAGGAUGAAGGCCUUCGGGUCGUAAACUGCUUUUAUAUGGGAAGAUUAUGACUGUACCAUAUGAAUAAGGGUCGGCUAACUCCGUGCCAGCAGCCGCGGUAAGACGGAGGACCCAAGCGUUACCCGGAAUUACUGGGCGUAAAGAGUUGCGUAGGCGGUCUGUUAAGUGGAAUGCGAAAUCUGGUGGCUCAACCAUCAAAUGGUAUUCCAAACUGGCAGACUUGAGGAUGAGAGGGGAGCAUGGAAUUGCUGGUGUAGGAGUGAAAUCCGUAGAUAUCAGCAGGAACACCGAUGGCGUAAGCAGUGCUCUAGAUCAUUCCUGACGCUCAGGCACGAAAGCGUGGGGAGCGAACCGGAUUAGAUACCCCUGUAGU
This 440-nucleotide ribosomal RNA is filed under the name uncultured bacterium. Its description in RNAcentral is "bacterial SSU rRNA". It matches the Rfam family "Bacterial small subunit ribosomal RNA", at positions 338 to 794 of the family's 1533-position model. The record is from RNAcentral.